RNAcentral lists this ribosomal RNA (433 nucleotides) under uncultured bacterium. RNAcentral describes it as "partial 16S ribosomal RNA". It matches the Rfam family "Bacterial small subunit ribosomal RNA", at positions 29 to 507 of the family's 1533-position model. The record is from RNAcentral.
AACGAACGCUGGCGGCAUGCCUAACACAUGCAAGUCGAACGAGACCUUCGGGUCUAGUGGCGCACGGGUGCGUAACGCGUGGGAACCUGCCUUUAGGUUCGGAAUAACUCAGAGAAAUUUGAGCUAAUACCGGAUGAUGUCUUCGGACCAAAGAUUUAUCGCCUUUAGAUGGGCCCGCGUUGGAUUAGCUAGUUGGUGGGGUAAAGGCCUACCAAGGCGACGAUCCAUAGCUGGUCUGAGAGGAUGAUCAGCCACACUGGGACUGAGACACGGCCCAGACUCCUACGGGAGGAAGCAGUGGGGAAUAUUGGACAAUGGGCGAAAGCCUGAUCCAGCAAUGCCGCGUGAGUGAUGAAGGACUUAGGGUUGUAAAGCUCUUUUACCCGAGAUGAUAAUGACAGUAUCGGGAGAAUAAGCUCCGGCUAACUCCGUG